This 303-nucleotide ribosomal RNA is filed under the name Clostridioides difficile. Its description in RNAcentral is "bacterial SSU rRNA". It matches the Rfam family "Bacterial small subunit ribosomal RNA", at positions 117 to 420 of the family's 1533-position model. The record is from RNAcentral. Lineage: Bacteria; Bacillati; Bacillota; Clostridia; Peptostreptococcales; Peptostreptococcaceae.
GUGGGUAACCUACCCUGUACACACGGAUAACAUACCGAAAGGUAUGCUAAUACGGGAUAAUAUAUUUGAGAGGCAUCUCUUGAAUAUCAAAGGUGAGCCAGUACAGGAUGGACCCGCGUCUGAUUAGCUAGUUGGUAAGGUAACGGCUUACCAAGGCGACGAGCAGUAGCCGACCGGAGAGGGAGAGCGGCCACAUUGGAACUGAGACACGGUCCAAACUCCUACGGGAGGCAGCAGUGGUGAAGAUUGCACAAUGGGCGAAAGCCUGAUGCAGCAACGCCGCGUGAGUGAUGAAGGCCUUCG